GGGGGGCUGGAAUCUCACUGAGGAAUAUAAAAUCCUGAAGGGAAUAGAAGUGAGAAGCUACAAGACUAUUUGAGGGAACUACGUAUAUGAAGUAGAAAAGGUGUGGAUAUAUUUAUAUGGACCAGCCUGGAAGAAAAUCAUUGCUACUGUGUUAAAGCUACAUGUAGGCUAGAAGCCCAGGAGAGGAGAGGAAGAGCUCAUCUGCUUCCCAUUCAGUGCUGCCUGGGAUGAGAGACUGUGUGUGUGUGCUGUUGGCUUCUUCUGCUGUUACCUGCCUGCUCUUUGUUUCCCCUGUUGGUCUGUGGCCUGUUGCCUCUGUGGAACAUCUGUGGGGAGUGUGUGCAGGACUGGGGCCAAGGGUGAGUGACUCAUGUUACGGCCAGUGUGGCCAAAGUUAAUGGACUGGAUCCAGAAUUUGGUACAGAACUCAGUUCUAUUUCCAAUAGCAGUGUUCAGCUCAGAGAAACACUGAUGCAAGGCCUCACUCAGCUCUGAGUGAAAUGUUUAACUCCUAGGAGACAAGAUGGAAGCUAAUCCCUUACUUCCUCUGACAGAAUGCUUACCAUGUUGAUGUCACCUAUAUUGUUUUGCCUUAGUCAAAUGCAUUGAUUAACUAGCCUCAAACAUGUACCCUUUUGCUGUUACUUUGAACAUUCUUUUUUAUAAUUACACUCUAGGUAGAUGUACACAAGAAGUAAUUUAAUUGCUGUCUCACACAUAUAGCUUAGCCUCUUCCUUCUCAAACAACCCCUUUUGACUUUUUAACACUCUUUGGAACAAGAGGCACCAGGAGCCUGCCUCUUAGGCAAAGACAGACCAACAACCUUUUAACGUGGUAAUUCUCUUUAUUUAGCAGGGGGAGAGUAACUGGCCCUCCAGCACAGGAUCUCCAAUGACUGUUGUUGGUGUCUAUCUUAUGUUUCUUUUUAGACUGUGAGCCCUUUGGGGACGGGGAGCCAUCUUAUUUAUCUUAUUUAUUUAUUUAUUAUCCCUCUGUGUAAACCGCCCUGAGCCAUUUUUGGAAGGGCGGUAUAGAAAUUGAACAAACAAACAAACAAAUAACUUAAGAAAUGCAGAUGUUUGAACAACAAAAGGAGCAAACUGCUUCUUGACAACAAAAAGACAGUAUGCAGAGGAUGCUGCUCUGAACUGGUCUAACAAAGAAACAAUUUUGUCAUGAGAAGGAAGCUUUAUGAUAAGAGUGACUGACACUUUUGAGAUCCAGGACUGAAAGUACUAUCUUGAAAGAACUCCUAGUGCAGAUCUAUAGGAUCCAGCUGCUUUAAAAAGGGGUCUCUGGACAUGGCAAAUAAGCAAGCUUUGUCUAACCAGCAGAUCUUUGCUCAACAGCAAUCCCAGAGUACACUGUUCAAGCUGCGGGGCUAGAGCAGGAAUUCUUUCCAUGGACAGGACCCAUUGCACCCAGAUCCUACAUGGUCAUCAUCUCCAAGAACCAAUUCAGUUUGUUUAUGAUGUGACUUUGCCUCUUUCCCUCUGAGCAUAUACAGAGUGUGAAACCAGGUGUAGCUCACAACACUCAGCAGUUCCAACCAUCUGCUCAGCUCUGGGGCUUUUAUAGGAACGCUGCCUGUAGCAGUCGCCCCUUUGGGGGAGCCACUUUGGAGGAUAGCAAGGGCCAGGCUGUCUGGCUCAGGAUUCUUCAUGCGUGUGUAAAAGGUAGGCGGGUAUUUUUAAUUUGGCUUCUGUUUUAAAUCCUGGGUAAGUUUAGUUUUAAUGUGCCUGGGUCUGUCUAGAGAUGGGGAGACAGGGAGUGUAUCCACUGAUUAUGGGGCAGCUGUUCCAGUGGUGGUGGGAAUAGAAGAAGUAAUGUUGGCAAGUCAGCAGGCCGUUACAGGGGAAGAGAAAUCAGAAACUUAAUCAUUGUUUCUCUUUCUGUCAGUCCUGCCAGCUCUUUGACCUUGAGGAGCAGAGCCAACCACCUUGCUCCUUUGCAAUGCCAGGUCAGUCCAGAAUAAACCUGAAAUCAUCCAUGGCCUGAUUCUGGAUGAAGGGGCCAAUCUGGUAUGUAUUACAGAGACUUGGUUGAGGGAGGCCGAUGGCCCAGGAUGGGCCCAGCUUCUCCCUCCAGGAUCCUCUGUUGAGGAGCAGGUGAGGGGACGUGAGCAAGGAGGUGGAAUGGCUGUGGUCUAUAAGAACAACAUCUAUCUCGCCAGGAUCCCUGUCCAAGUGUCUGACCUUAUUGAAUGUAUGUAAUUAAGUUUGGGGACCAGGGAUAGACUGGGACUUCUAUUAGUGUACCAAUCACCCCACUGCCCAACAGAGUCCUUAACUGAGCUGACAGACCUGUUCUCUGGCUUGGCGUUGGAAUCUCUCAGGCUUGUGGUGGUAGAGGACUUCAAUGUUGACUUUGGGACCAAUUUGUCUGGGGUGGCUCAGAAGUUCAUAGCAGCCAUGACAACUAUGGGCCUAUCUCAAGUGGUCUCAGGACGACACACAUUUAUUUAUUUAUCAUAUUUCUAUACCACCUGAUAUGUACAUCUCUAGGCAGUGUACAAAAUUUAAAAUAUUUAAAAGUUACAGAUUAAAAUACAUGACAAUAAAAACAAUAGAAUAAAAUAGAUAUUAAAACAAUUUUUUUAAAUUAUUAAAUUUAAUUCUAAUUAAAAGCCUGCAAAAACAGGAGAGUCUUGAGGUUCAUCCUGAAAACAAACAGAGAAAGCUCUUAUUAUUACAGGCGGCAGGGUAUAUGACAAAGGAGGUGCUCUCUUAAAUCAUGGACCUAAGCCAUGACACAUUGCUGAUCACACGCUUGAUCUGGUCUUUCACUCUGAACAGAGUGCAGUUCCAUGGGUGGGGACCCUUGUGAUUCCCCCAUUGUCAUGGAUGGACCACCAUCUAGUUAAGGUUGGACUCACGAUCACAUCCCACCUCCACAGGGGCGAAGGGCCCAUCAGGAUGAUCCGUCCAAGAAGGUUAUUGGAUCUAAUAGGAUUCCAAGAAGCCUUGGAGGGAUUUAGUGUUGGCUUUGCCAGUGACCCUGUAGACACCCUGGUGGAGAUUUGGAACAACCAACUCACCAGGGCAGUGGAUACAAUCACUCCUAAGCGUCCUCUCCAACCCGCUUCGAAACUGGCCCCUUUGUAUACAAAAGAACUACAGCAGCUGAAACAGUGAGGUAGACUACUAGAGCACAAGUGGGAAAAGACUCGACUCAAAUCUGACAGAUUAUUACACAAAGUGCAUUUGAAAAUCUAUGCUCAGGUGAUACAUGUGGCUAAGACACGAUUCUUUCCUCCCACAUCACUCCCACAAGUCCACGUCAAGAGGAGUUGUUCAGGGUUGUGAGGGGGCUAGUGCGUGCCCCUUCCCCCUUGAAUCAGUAAUUGGAACCAACAAUUACUCACUGAGAUGUUUUAAAUGAGUUUUUUGUGGACAAAAUCUCUCAUAUUUGAGCCGACCUAGAUUCAAACCACACACUGUUACACUGGUCUGAUGCCGAUGUGUCCAGCAGCUCCUCUUAUGCAAUGACCCUGGAUCAGUCUCAGUUUGUGACUCCUGAGGAUGUGGACAAGUUGCUUGGAAUGGUGUGGCCUACCAUCUGCCCUCUUGAUCCUUGCCCGACAUGGCUUAUACUAUCUGGCAGGAAGGCUGUUGUAGUAGAGGGCUUGGUAGAGAUUAUAAAUGCUUCUCUGAGGGAGGGCAGGAUGCCUCCUUGUCUCAAGGUGGCAAUCAUUAGAAUGCUUCUUAAGAAACCUGCCUUGGAUCCCUCAGAGUUAAGCAACUACAGGCCGAUCUUCAACCUUUAAUGGUUGGGCAAGGUGAUUGAGAGGGUGGUGGCAUCCCAGCUCCAGGAGGUAAUGGAGGAAACUGAUUAUCUGGACCCAUUUCAAACUGGCUUUCAGGCGGGCUAUGGGGUGGAGACUGCCUUGGUCAGCCUAAUGGAUGAUCUCCAAUUGGGAAUUGACAGAAGGAGUGUGACUUUGAUAUUAGAGAUCUCUUUUGGAUCUCUCGGCGGCCUUAGAUACUAUUGACCAUAAUAUCCUUCUGGAAAGUCUGAGGGAAUUGGGGGUGGGAGGCACUGCUUUACGGUGGUUCCACUCCUAUCCCACGGGAAGAUUCUAGAUGGUGUCUCUUAGAGACUGUUGUUCUUCAAAAUCUGAACUUUCAUAUGAUGCACCCUCUCCCUGGUGUCUCAGGUUGAGACAGUGGCCAGAAGUGCUUUCUGUCAGCUUCGCUGAUAUGCCAGCUGUGUUCAUUUCUUGAGAUGAAUGACCUCAGAACAGUGGUACAUAUGUUGGUAACCUCCAGGCUGGAGUACUACAAUGUGCUCUAUGUGGGACUGCAUACUAUGUAUGUAGUCUGGAAACUGCAGCUGGUACUGAACAAACGUGUUGGCCAGGUUAGUGUCUCAGUCAUCUAGGAGAGACCAUAUUACUCCGGUGUUCAAAGGGCUACAGUGGCUGUUGAUAUGUUUCUGGGCAAAAUACAAGGUGCUGGUUAUAACCUAUGAAGCAGGGGUAUAGCAAGUUUCCCUGGGACCAGGGGACAAAGUGUAGCCUGGGGGCCUCCAUCGCACACGCAAAGUGCACAUGUGCAGUCUGCUUAGCUUGCAGCUCGCCCAAGCAAGCAAGAGAAGAGGCCAACUUGUGAGGGCAAGGGGGGACUGACCUUAGGGGCCCCUCAGACCCUGUGGGCCAGGGGAGAUUUGUCCCCCCUUGUCCAAUGGACCCUUCGCCUAUGGUAUGAAGCCUUAAAUAGCUUAUGCCCUGGGUAUUUAAGAGAACGCUUUCUUUACCAUGAGCCCCAUUGCUAGUUAAGAUCAUCUGGAGAGGUUUGUCGGUGGUUGCCACCAGGUUGUCUGGCAGCUACUCUGGGACGGGACUUCUCCAUUGCUGCCCCUGGGUUUUAGAAUGCACUCCCUGUUGAAAUAAGAGCCUCCCCAUCUCUGGCAACCUUUUAAAAGGCACUGGAGACAUAUUUAUUCACCCUGGCUUUUAAUUAGAUUUACAGUUUUAAUACAUUUAAUGUUGGGUUUUAAAUUACUUUAAUGUUAAUGAUUUUAAUGUUUAAAUCAUUUUAAUUGUAAACUGUCCAGAGAUGCAGGUUUGGGGUGGUAUAAAAAUAUGUUAAAUAAAUAAACAAAUAAUACAUAAAUAAAACAAUAAUGUGCCCCAUAAGAGGGCAGACACCUUCUCUCCCCUGCUCAUCCUUUUUUUCUCAUGCUAACUUCCUUUACAGUCCCCACAAGCUCUUCAGCAUUGGCUGUAACUGAAAGCCAGAAAGAAUUACUUCCGUUUAAAUAGGGUUUACACAGGCAAGCUGCAUGUAUUGGGGGGGGGGCGUGGAACCUACAGCCAGGGCCUGAGGAGAGUGAGUCUGUACCAGAAAUUGCAAAGAAUUAGGUUAAAGGAUUCCAGCUAUCAAUCCAAUGUGGAUUUCAACUAUGACUAGGAAUGACUGAAACUACAACCUCCCCUCUCAAAUAAUGAAUACAUAAAAUAAAAACAUGAAAUGAUGAUGAACUGCAUGUAAUGUAGAUAUUAUCGAUCAGUUAUUAGCUGUCCAAUAUUGUAAGAUGUUAAAUAUCAACCACUGACAGUUAUCAACUAUCAGAAGUCAAAUGCCAUCGGCUGUCAAAUAUAAACUGCUCUCAGCUGCCAAAUAACUAUUAGAUAUCAAAUACCACAGAGGGUCAAAGGUCAAAUACAGUCAUUUCAAAUAUUGAAUGCUAAAUAUCAAAUACUGGCAAAAGUCAGCUUAAUGCUGAAUAUCAGAAAAUCAACAGAUCUUUGACCUCAGGGAAGACAAGAUAAGAAUGUGCCUCAGAGCAGUAUCAGAAGAUAUGGCUGGUUCCAUUAAUGGUGUAAACAGGUUCUAAGAGUUCAACUGGACUUCCUCCCUAGUAAGUGUGCUCUGGACUGCAGCUUUAGCGUUUUAAUGCCCUGAUCAAGAGGUACACCUGUGUCCAGGCAUGCCCAUAAGUCUCAUACACAUGUGGCGCAUUUCCACCUGCUGUUCCUGUUAGGAAAGCUCUGUGUGCCGAUCAGAACAGACCUCUGGGCCUAUGGUGCAGAGUAGUAUGCUUAAUCACUUCUAAUUAUUUUAAUAAUGGGACUGGGUAGACUAAAAAUAUAUAUCUAAAUCUAGACAAAUCAAUCAAUCAAGUUAUAAUGAUUUCCUGUACUUUGAAACUACAAGAAUUAUUAGUUUUGUGGGGGUGCUGAGCACCCUUGAUAGGACUGCAGUUCCUCAGGUUUCUUCAGGGAAGUAAUGACACUUAAAUCGGUUUUUGUGUUAUCUGAUGUAUUCCCUUCAGCAUCUCCAUCCUGACAUUGUUCAAUGCAGUCUUGGGGGAGAUACCCUACAGGUCUGACCGAGUGAGGCUAUUCUGAUCUCAUCCCUGCUAACCCAGGCAAAGAGCAACCAAAACCUCUGUGGUGCA
Long non-coding RNA from Hemicordylus capensis (graceful crag lizard), 6403 nucleotides. RefSeq lists it as uncharacterized. The record is from RefSeq and is a predicted model, not a curated record. The transcript has 3 exons. NCBI's taxonomy places the organism in Eukaryota, Metazoa, Chordata, Lepidosauria, Squamata, Cordylidae.